AACGCAAAUGGCACUGUCGGGUAACCGGCAGUACGUUUCUUUCAGCGUCGUUUCAACAACACUCAGGCUGCGCCUCUUUAAGGCAAAAGCUUGGACAUUGAGUGUCACAAUUCGCAAGGACUGUGUCACUUUAAAACUAGCGGAAAGACAUGUGCUUUAGCACACUGCACCAAUUACUUGGCAGUGACGUGGAUAAUUUCACUAUCUGUGAAUCUUUACGUGACUGUUUCAAAGAACAGUGUAUGUGCGGCUUGGCGCAACAGCUCGUUCCGAUAUUGAGGACUUCAAGUCUUCAACUAAUCUUUCGACUCAGACCUGAAAUGAAGCGAGAAUACCCGCCGAACUUAA
RNAcentral lists this unclassified non-coding RNA (348 nucleotides) under uncultured soil eukaryote. Its description in RNAcentral is "sequence contains 5.8S rRNA gene, ITS2, 28S rRNA gene". The record is from RNAcentral.